GUUCAGGUAGGGUUAGAGCAAAGGACUGAAAAUCCUUGUGUCAGUGAUUCGAAUCCACUUCUAAGCG
RNAcentral lists this transfer RNA (67 nucleotides) under Cicer arietinum (chickpea). It matches the Rfam family "tRNA", at positions 10 to 71 of the family's 71-position model. From Rfam's summary of the family: Transfer RNA (tRNA) molecules are approximately 80 nucleotides in length. Their secondary structure includes four short double-helical elements and three loops (D, anti-codon, and T loops). The record is from Rfam by way of RNAcentral. Lineage: Eukaryota; Viridiplantae; Streptophyta; Magnoliopsida; Fabales; Fabaceae.